This 385-nucleotide ribosomal RNA is filed under the name uncultured bacterium. RNAcentral describes it as "bacterial SSU rRNA". It matches the Rfam family "Bacterial small subunit ribosomal RNA", at positions 129 to 507 of the family's 1533-position model. The record is from RNAcentral.
GUUACUCAGGGGAUUAGCCUUUCCCGAAAAGGGGAGAUUAAUACCUGAUGGUGUUUGAAGUUCGCAUGUUCUUCAAACUAAAGAUUUAUCGGUAACGGAUAGGGGAUGCGUGACAUUAGAUAGUAGGCGGGGUAACGGCCCACCUAGUCUACGAUGUCUAGGGGUUCUGAGAGGAAGGUCCCCCACACUGGAACUGAGUCACGGUCCAGACUCCUACGGGAGGCAGCAGUGAGGAAUAUUGGUCAAUGGGCGAGAGCCUGAACCAGCCAAGUAGCGGUGAAGGAAGACUGCCCUAUGGGUUGUAAACUGCUUUUAUGCGGGAAUAAGAUCAGAUACGUGUAUCUGCGUGCAUGUACCGCAUGAAUAAGGACCGGCUAAUUCCGUG